GCCAAUGAUGAUAUGAUCCAAUUUGUUUGAGGUGUAGUGGAACCAAGACCCUGUUUCAGGGAGAACCUCCUUGGCGAAGCUGCAUUUCACAUGAAAUUAACGGAUCUUACUGAGGC
Molecule: small nucleolar RNA, 116 nt
Organism: Macadamia integrifolia
Lineage: Eukaryota; Viridiplantae; Streptophyta; Magnoliopsida; Proteales; Proteaceae
Product: small nucleolar RNA Z278
Exons: 1
Source: RefSeq, a predicted model, not a curated record